ACGGCUCUCUUAGUUUUGAGGAGUUAGUCUGUGAUCUUUCUGUUUUGUUGAGAGGCACUACUGAAGAGAAGCUGAACUGGGCUUUCAAUCUAUACGACAUCAACAACGAUGGACAGAUCACUAAAGAGGAGAUGUUGGAUGUAUUGAAGUCUAUUUAUGAUUUGAUGGGGAAAUCUAUCCAUCCUCGACUGAAAGAGGAGGCAGUGAGGCAACACGUCAGAAUGUUUUUCCAAAAAAUGGACAUAAACCAGGAUGGACUAUUAAAUAAUUAA
Molecule: long non-coding RNA, 272 nt
Organism: Cyprinus carpio (common carp)
Lineage: Eukaryota; Metazoa; Chordata; Actinopteri; Cypriniformes; Cyprinidae
Exons: 4
Source: RefSeq, a predicted model, not a curated record